RNAcentral lists this long non-coding RNA (321 nucleotides) under Pan troglodytes (chimpanzee). RNAcentral's name for it is "long non-coding RNA NONPTRT011857". Lineage: Eukaryota; Metazoa; Chordata; Mammalia; Primates; Hominidae. The record is from RNAcentral.
ACAUUUGAGAUGAUAGUGUAUGUGUCUUUUAGAGGCAGUGUCAUUCUUGCCUCUUAAUCUCUGCAGCUUUCAGGGAAGUUCAGGAAUAUUCUGGUCUCACUGCUUAAUGUUUAUUUUUUGAGAUAGAGUCUUGCUCUGUCUCUCAGGCUGGAGUGCAGUGGCAUGAUCUUGGCUCACUGCACCUCUGCUUCCUGGGUUCAAGUAAUUCUUGUGCCUCAGCCUCCUGAGUAGUAGGGACUAGCAUGUGCCACCAUGCCCGGCUGAUUUUUCUGUUUUUAGUAGAAACAGGGUUUGGCCAUGAUGGCCAGGCUGGUCUCGAAC